This 107-nucleotide ribosomal RNA is filed under the name Ovis aries (sheep). Lineage: Eukaryota; Metazoa; Chordata; Mammalia; Artiodactyla; Bovidae. The record is from RNAcentral.
GUCUAUGGCCAUACCACCCUGACCGGGCCUGAUCUCAUCUGAUCUCAGAAGCUAAGCAGCGUCAGGCCUGGUUGGUACUUGGAUGGGAAACCCAGGGGUCAAAGACU